UACAGAGGUCCCAAGCGUUGUUCGGAUUCACUGGGCGCAAAGGGUGCGUAGGCGGUCGGGUAAGUCUGACGUGAAAUCUCCGGGCCUAACCCGGAAACUGCGUUGGAAACUACCUGGCUAGAGGAAUGGAGGGGAGACUGGAAUACUUGGUGUAGCGGUGAAAUGCGCAGAUAUCAGGAGGAACACCAAUGGCGAAGGCAGCUCGCUGGGACGGUACUGACGCUGAGACGCGAAAGCAUGGGGAGCAAACAGG
Molecule: ribosomal RNA, 253 nt
Filed under: uncultured prokaryote
Description: partial 16S ribosomal RNA
Rfam family: Bacterial small subunit ribosomal RNA
Source: RNAcentral